GUUGAACGCUGGCGGCAGGCCUAACACAUGCAAGUCGAGCGGAUGAAGGGAGCUUGCUCCUGGAUUCAGCGGCGGACGGGUGAGUAAUGCCUAGGAAUCUGCCUGGUAGUGGGGGCUAACGUCCGGAAACGGGCGCUAAUACCGCAUACGUCCUUAGGGAGAAAGUGGGGGAUCUUUGGACCUCACGCUAUCAGAUGAGCCUAGGUCGGAUUAGCUAGUUGGUGGGGUAAAGGCCUACCAAGGCGACGAUCCGUAACUGGUCUGAGAGGAUGAUCAGUCACACUGGAACUGAGACACGGUCCAGGCUCCUACGGGAGGCAGCAGUGGGGAAUAUUGGACAAUGGGCGAAAGCCUGAUCCAGCCAUGCCGCGUGUGUGAAGAAGGUCUUCGGAUUGUAAAGCACUUUAAGUUGGGAAGAAGGGCAGUAAGUUAAUACCUGGCUGUUUUGACGUUACCAACAGAAUAAGCACCGGCUAACUUCGUG
RNAcentral lists this ribosomal RNA (484 nucleotides) under uncultured bacterium. RNAcentral describes it as "partial 16S ribosomal RNA". It matches the Rfam family "Bacterial small subunit ribosomal RNA", at positions 28 to 507 of the family's 1533-position model. The record is from RNAcentral.